RNAcentral lists this long non-coding RNA (1824 nucleotides) under Theobroma cacao (cacao). Its description in RNAcentral is "long non-coding RNA (TCAC_LNC005968)". The record is from RNAcentral. Lineage: Eukaryota; Viridiplantae; Streptophyta; Magnoliopsida; Malvales; Malvaceae.
UCUUCUUCUUCCUCCUUCCAUCUCACAUUUGUUUCCCCCUCCAUGGAAGCAUGGUAUGAAAACUUCAUAACUUUCUCUCUCUAACUCCAAUUUUCAUGCCUUUAUGCGCCUUUUCAUGGAACCCUUGUGCUCUUUCACUCUUUUACGUCAAAACCCUUGAAAAAUCCCACUUUCAUACUUUCUCUCACUAGCUAGGUGUUUAGAGAGAGAAAGAGAGAGAAAGCUCCCAUAAUAGCUUGAAAAAUUUAUUGGAAAGAAUUUCAAAGCUAUAAGUUACCAAGGUGAGUAGUGAAUUAGAAUUUUUUUUUUUUUUGUGUUGGGAAUGAUUAGUAAGUAGACUUUUGAAUGUUGUAGUUGAGGUUAUCCACUCAUUUUAGAGUGAUUAGGGUAGUGAAAAUAGAUAGCCAUUUAAAUGGCAAUUGGAAGCUAACUAAGAGAAAGCUUUAGACUUUAUAAGUAUGUGAAUUGACAAAUUGGUGAUGCUAAUGUGAUGAUAGGUUCCAACGAAGCCUCAUUAUCCCAUUUGGACAAUUAGGGAAGUUAGGAUCGGCUAAAGGCUCAAACAAUCCCGGUGAGUGAACUUGCAUUUCAAAAUUGUUUUGGAAAUGUGAAUGUAUUUGUACAAAACCUUUAAAUGAUUUUAUCCCCUUUUUCUUACAAAUGGUGCCUUGGGAACAAGCCCUUGAUAAAUUGUCUCUAUGUGUGACAUGUGGUUGUUAUGGAUUCUUGUACUACAUUAUGUUGAUAUAUAUAUAUAUAUAUAUAUAUAUAUAUAUGUUGUGCAUUGAUGGUUGAUAUUGUGUGAUAAUGAUAACCGUGUGUGUGCAUGAUGUGGGGGGAUGCACAUGCCGGUGAUGAUGGUGGUGAGGGAGAUGAUGAUGAUAGUGCCCGUGUGGACGAUGUGGGGGGAUGUACACGAUGGCACUAACUGUGCACGAUGUGGAGGGAUGCACACGAUGACUCCGACUAUGUGCACGAUGUGGGGGGAUGCACAUGGCUGGGUGAGAUGAUGGUGGUGUUGGUGUUUAAUUAUGUAUAUAUGUAUAUAUAUAUGUUUGUGAAAUAAAAGUUCAUGAAUAUAGUAUAUGGUUGUAAUGCAUGUGAAAAUUUGGCAUGUUGAACUUUGAAAAUUUUUGAGUAUUUCAUGUUGAAAUUGGCAUGAUGAAUCUUGAGAAUGUCACAUUUUCUUGCAAAUUGAGUUUAUUGCAGCACCAAAUGGAUUUUUAGUGCAAAUGAGGUCCUUUUUACAUUUAGGUGCCCUGCUUCUCGCUGUAGCGAGAAACAUUCUGUUUUGGCAGCCAUAAACUUGCUGCAGCGAGAAUAAAUCUCGCUGUAGCGAGAAACUCUCAGGUUCUAAUACAAUGCCUUCACUUUGAUAAAGAUUUUGACUACUUUUCCAUCCGAAUUGGGAAAAGUGAUAAACAUAAAAGUUGUAUCCCUGCCUCUUAGCUUUCUAAUGGUUUAAAAAUCAGGUCAAUUGGACUUUUGUAGAGGGAGAUAUACUAGAAAAAUUGAAACAUAUGCAAACUAACACUAUUUCUCGUUACAGCUAGAAACUUUCUAUUUUGGCCACCCGAAUCUCACUGCAGCGAGAAUGAAUUUCACUGAAGUGAGAAACUUGUUGCCAUGCUUGCUACCUUGCUUGAUUUUGACCUACUUUUCACCCAUUUAACUUCAUGGAUUGAUCAUGGGUUUGUGAAACACUAUGAGGGUAUUAAUCAAGGUUUGAAAUUAAGGGUUUUUAGUAAGAAAUUAAAUCAAGUGCAUUGUUUUUGAAACAAGUGCAUCAUGAUUUUCAAAUUCUUCCUAUCAAUUGCUUGUUAC